RNAcentral lists this ribosomal RNA (505 nucleotides) under Cervidellus vexilliger. RNAcentral describes it as "SSU rRNA". It matches the Rfam family "Eukaryotic small subunit ribosomal RNA", at positions 88 to 590 of the family's 1831-position model. Lineage: Eukaryota; Metazoa; Nematoda; Chromadorea; Rhabditida; Cephalobidae. The record is from RNAcentral.
CGCGAAUAGCUCAUUACAACAGCUAAAAUUUACUCGAUCUUGACACAAUCCUACUUGGAUAACUGUGGUAAUUCUAGAGCUAAUACAUGCAUUAAAGCUCUGACCUUCGGGGAAGAGUGCAUUUAUUAGAACAAAACCAAGCGGCUUCGGCUGUUUUCGGUUGACUCAUAGUAACUGAGCUGAUCGCAUGGUCUUGCACCGGCGACGUGUCGUUCAAGUAUCUGCCGUAUCAACUUUCGAUGGUAGUGUAUCUGACUACCAUGGUGAUCACGCGUAACGGAGAAUAAGGGUUCGACUCCGGAGAGUUCGCCUGAGAAAUCGCGAACACAUCUAAGGAAGGCAGCAGGCGCGAAAAUUACCCACUCUCAGCACGAGGAGGUAGUGACGAAAAAUAACGAGACCGUUCUCUUAUGAGGCCGGUCAUCGGAAUGGGUACAAUUUAAACCCUUUAACGAGUAUCUAUGAGAGGGCAAGUCUGGUGCCAGCAGCCGCGGUAAUUCCAGCU